GAGUUUGAUCCUGGCUCAGAUUGAACGCUGGCGGCAUGCUUUACACAUGCAAGUCGAACGGCAGCACAGGGAGCUUGCUCCUGGGUGGCGAGUGGCGAACGGGUGAGUAAUGUAUCGGAACGUGCCUGGUAGUGGGGGAUAACCACUCGAAAGAGUGGCUAAUACCGCAUGAGAUCUCUGGAUGAAAGCGGGGGACCUUUGGGCCUCGCGCUAUCGGAGCGGCCGAUAUCAGAUUAGGUUGUUGGUGGGGUAAAGGCCUACCAAGCCUGCGAUCUGUAGCUGGUCUGAGAGGACGACCAGCCACACUGGGACUGAGACACGGCCCAGACUCCUACGGGAGGCAGCAGUGGGGAAUUUUGGACAAUGGGCGCAAGCCUGAUCCAGCAAUGCCGCGUGCAGGACGAAGGCCCUCGGGUUGUAAACUGCUUUUGUACAGAACGAAAAGUCUCUGGCUAAUAUCUGGGGAACAUGACGUA
This 476-nucleotide ribosomal RNA is filed under the name Brachymonas sp. canine oral taxon 015. RNAcentral describes it as "bacterial SSU rRNA". It matches the Rfam family "Bacterial small subunit ribosomal RNA", at positions 9 to 476 of the family's 1533-position model. Lineage: Bacteria; Pseudomonadati; Pseudomonadota; Betaproteobacteria; Burkholderiales; Comamonadaceae. The record is from RNAcentral.